AUGGCUCUGCCAUGUGCGUGUUUUGAGGUGUUAUUUUUAAGGACCUAUAACAACUUUUGGGAAACCUGUCUUUGCUAGUAAGCGUACAAUUUCUCAACUGAGAUAAGUACAAGGCUAACAAGGGGUAAACCACCGUGAAAAUACGGGUCCAAAAGGUAUCCUCCCACGGCAUUACGGUGGAGCCUUA
This 187-nucleotide non-coding RNA is filed under the name Planctomycetota bacterium. RNAcentral describes it as "6S RNA". It matches the Rfam family "6S / SsrS RNA". From Rfam's summary of the family: E. coli 6S RNA was the first non coding RNA to be sequenced, but its function was unknown until recently. It consists of 184 nucleotides that fold into an extended hairpin structure with a large single-stranded internal bulge. Lineage: Bacteria; Pseudomonadati; Planctomycetota. The record is from RNAcentral.